CCUCAAAUUUGUCAAUGCUUUGCAAUGCUUGCCGCUGGCGUCGUACGUUGUGGCUUUGCGUCGGGUGCAGGUGGACCUGGCGAGUAGCGAGAACUUCGGGCGCUACCGGGUGCCGGACGAGCGGGCGGAGGAGGCGCAAGAUAUCCACGAGUCGCUCGUGGCGUUGGGCCGCGUCAUCACGGCUCUGGCGGAGAAGAGGCCUCACGUCCCGUACAGAGGGUCCAACCUGACGCGCUUCCUGCGAGACUCGCUGGGAGGGACGACCAAGACCACCAUCAUCGCCACCGUGCCGCAGUUCUCCAGUGACCUUGAGGAGACGCGAAUCACGCUAAAGUACGCCAGCAAGGCCAGGAGCAUCAUCAACGAGCCCGAGGUGGUCAGAGAGUGGGUGCCCGCGGAGGUGAGGCCGGCACACGCGGCACACGACACGCCGGCACACGCGGCUUCCAAUCGACGACACGCUGCGCUCCGGUCCGCAACAUGGC
Molecule: long non-coding RNA, 485 nt
Organism: Hippocampus comes (tiger tail seahorse)
Lineage: Eukaryota; Metazoa; Chordata; Actinopteri; Syngnathiformes; Syngnathidae
Exons: 3
Source: RefSeq, a predicted model, not a curated record